Molecule: transfer RNA, 73 nt
Filed under: Procambarus clarkii (red swamp crayfish)
Lineage: Eukaryota; Metazoa; Arthropoda; Malacostraca; Decapoda; Cambaridae
Description: transfer RNA valine (anticodon UAC)
Rfam family: tRNA
About the family: Transfer RNA (tRNA) molecules are approximately 80 nucleotides in length. Their secondary structure includes four short double-helical elements and three loops (D, anti-codon, and T loops). Further hydrogen bonds mediate the characteristic L-shaped molecular structure. tRNAs have two regions of fundamental functional importance: the anti-codon, which is responsible for specific mRNA codon recognition, and the 3' end, to which the tRNAs corresponding amino acid is attached (by aminoacyl-tRNA synthetases). tRNAs cope with the degeneracy of the genetic code in two manners: having more than one tRNA (with a specific anti-codon) for a particular amino acid; and 'wobble' base-pairing, i.e. permitting non-standard base-pairing at the 3rd anti-codon position.
Source: RNAcentral
GCUCUCGUAGUGUAGAGGUUGUCACGUCUGCUUUACACGCAGAAGAUCCCAGGUUCGAGCUCUGGCGAGAGCA